Molecule: ribosomal RNA, 274 nt
Filed under: uncultured bacterium
Lineage: Bacteria
Description: partial 16S ribosomal RNA
Rfam family: Bacterial small subunit ribosomal RNA
Source: RNAcentral
AGACGUAGGGGGCGAGCGUUGUUCGGAAUUACUGGGCGUAAAGAGCUCGUAGGCGGGAGGUUUAGUCUUGCAAUAAAGCCCACAGCUCAACUGUGGAUCAUUGUAAGAAACUGGCUUUCUCGAGAACAGGAGAGGGCAGUGGAAUUCCUAGUGUAGCGGUGAAAUGCGUAGAUAUUAGGAGGAACACCAGUGGCGAAGGCGACUGUCUGGCCUGUUUCUGACGCUGAGGAGCGAAAGCUGGGGGAGCAAACGGGAUUAGAAACCCUAGUAGUCC